GCUUCUGUGGCCAAGUGGUAAGGCGCAUGCCUAGUAAGCAUGAGAUCGGCGGUUCGAACCCGUCUAGAAGCU
RNAcentral lists this transfer RNA (72 nucleotides) under Paracoccaceae bacterium. RNAcentral describes it as "Rhodobacteraceae bacterium tRNA-Thr". It matches the Rfam family "tRNA". From Rfam's summary of the family: Transfer RNA (tRNA) molecules are approximately 80 nucleotides in length. The record is from RNAcentral. Lineage: Bacteria; Pseudomonadati; Pseudomonadota; Alphaproteobacteria; Rhodobacterales; Paracoccaceae.